AGUUCAGGGCACAGAAGCCCAGGGCCCCCUGAGGUCCCAGGCUUAGGGAACAGAAGCUCUUGCUGAGAAGGAAAAUAACUACCCUGGACGUUUUUAUGGAUCAAGUCUUUUACAUAAUUCUUUCAUUUCCACAGUAACUGUGGAGAGAAAUUUCCAUGAUAAUUGCCAAGUAUCCUGUUGCACUGCAAUACUCUCAACUAAGGAAGGAAGAGGAUCAUAAGUUCAAGGCCAACCUAAGCCUUGUGUGAAAUCAAGGAAGCAGCCAAGUUGAAAAGAUCCAUUCAUCAAGAAGCUGCAGGUGACCAGUAAAGGACAGCCAGUAAGUAGCCACCACCAUCCAGCACACAGCCACUGUCUUCCUCUAUACCACAAGAACUUGUCAUGAUGUCUCAGCCAGAGGAGUAAACUGAAGCCUUGCAGAAGCCACAGGUAUGAGCAGACCAUCAAGCUCAGAUGCCCCUCCCUGCCACCCUUCACCCUUUCCCUCCUCUCACCCAACCCUACAGCUGUCCUGCCAAGAGAAAGAAGUCCUGGGAAAGUCAUGCAAAUCUCUGUCGGUCUCUCACACUCUCAAACUAGGAAGUAAAUGGAGAAACGCUGCUCUCAUCUGGCUGUUCCGAACCAAUUCUCAUUAUAGUGAUUUACAUGAACAGGGGUGUAAAUUUGCAUACCAUCAAGUGUUUAAGAUUAACUUGUGCACAUUUGAUUUGAUUUGAUUUGAUUUUGGCCUUAAAUUCUUCAUGGAUGCUGAGCCUCCGUGGUUUUUUUCCUUCCAAGUAACUGAGCUUUACACCAAAAAUUAAAACUGCCACAGCCAAUGACUUUCUUCAAAUGUGCGUAUUCGCUUUGGGAAAGGACAGCCGGGCGCAGUUGGAAGGCUUUUCGGCACUGAAAUGGCCCUGGUCCAGUGAUCAAUACUCACACAGAAGUGUCCUUAAAUAGGAAAUAGAAUUUUAAUAGGAAUCUCUGCAGAGCUCCAGGCAAGAGUUUGCAUAAUACAACCUCCUGCCAGCAGUAUAGUGGUUUGAGGAGAGGGAGGGUCCUGUCAUACUUCCACAAGCAGAAAGAAUUUCAUAUGCACUUAAACCUACCUCUGGAAUUUGUUCACACCUGUCCACUGGACUUACAGUGCCAAAGCCGGGAUGGGUGUGGCCCAUCGACCAGUCUCUGUAAAAUCCUAUAACAGGACUUUACAUAAGGACCAAAAGUGACACCACAUACCUCUUGGCCCUGGAAAAUGACAGGGGAAAGCAGGUUUUAUGAGCUGCACUGACAUACUGUGUCUCAGUGUGAUUAAUCCAUCUCAGGAAAGUGACUUGAAGAGCCAAUUAAAGGCAGCUUAGAGGAGCUACUUUGCAUUGUCUCUUUAUUC
Molecule: long non-coding RNA, 1372 nt
Organism: Mesocricetus auratus (golden hamster)
Lineage: Eukaryota; Metazoa; Chordata; Mammalia; Rodentia; Cricetidae
Exons: 3
Source: RefSeq, a predicted model, not a curated record